Salvia miltiorrhiza (redroot sage) is the source of this 650-nucleotide long non-coding RNA. RefSeq lists it as uncharacterized. The record is from RefSeq and is a predicted model, not a curated record. The transcript has 3 exons. Lineage: Eukaryota; Viridiplantae; Streptophyta; Magnoliopsida; Lamiales; Lamiaceae.
GAUUGCUUUGUAAUAGCUAGUUUAACUCCUUUUAUGGGCUUAUUUAUGCAUUUGGUAACAAAUUAACGUUUCAUGGGAAGCCCAUGAUUAACGUCCGGCCCGGGCUAAAAAGUACUGUUCAUUAGCUCUUAUGAAACCAGGGGGGACCCUUGGUUUAUUAAACUGGAGAGAGAAAGUAGUUCAAGAUUAAAAAAUUCCUUACAACUCUACCCCCGAAAAUCAAAUUGAUAUUUUAGGUUUUCUGCCGCUCAUUUGCAAAUCGAAAUUUUUGUCCAUUUUCCAGAGGCGCUGCGUAGGAGGUUUCCGACUUCUAACAAAAAUAUUUUGAAGAUUAUAUCUCUGGGGUUUGCUGAUUUUGUGGUGUUCUGGUGUAUUUUACUUCGGCGACGCGCCGACUAGGGUUAUCAACGUCAAAUACAAUGUCAACUUUGGGGCAUAAGAAAGCGUGUAUAUGUCUUGCUGUAGAAGAAAUUCUCCAUGAGCAAAUGUUGCAAUUGACUGUUGUUCUCGAUUACGUCGAGAAGGCAAAGUCACGAAAAAGAAAACGUAAUGGGAGGAGUGUAGCUUAUCGUAUAUUACACAGAAUACCAGAUCAAGUGAAGCACUUGAAUCGAAUUAUAGAUAUCAAUGAUGUUGAUUGUGUUACAAAU